This is a non-coding RNA of Macaca mulatta (Rhesus monkey), 86 nucleotides long. NCBI's taxonomy places the organism in Eukaryota, Metazoa, Chordata, Mammalia, Primates, Cercopithecidae. The record is from Rfam.
AGCUAUCACUGCUUUUUAGAAUAAGCUUGACUUUUGUUCAAAUAAAAACGCAAAAGGAAAGUGUAUCUUAAAAGGCAAUGACAGUU